UAUAUAAUGUUAAUUUUGGACCAUGAC
This 27-nucleotide non-coding RNA is filed under the name Rattus norvegicus (Norway rat). Lineage: Eukaryota; Metazoa; Chordata; Mammalia; Rodentia; Muridae. The record is from RNAcentral.